This 409-nucleotide long non-coding RNA is filed under the name Equus asinus (donkey). RNAcentral describes it as "lncRNA (ENSEASG00005035949.1)". The record is from RNAcentral. Lineage: Eukaryota; Metazoa; Chordata; Mammalia; Perissodactyla; Equidae.
GGAAAUGCCAGUUGAGUCCUGACCUUCCUCCUUCCGUGACAGAAUUCCAGCUGUACCAUGACAGAAAUCUGACUCUGAGAGUGAGGGGAGUGUGGUGGUUUCCUUGGACUCCAUCCAAACGAAGCAAGAUGAGCAUCUGUCUGCUGAUUUAUCAAGAGGACCAGCGAUGGUUUAGGAAUGAUGGACAGUCCUCUGAGGAAGCAGUGCCAGAAGCAUGAUGAGCAGAAAUGCUGAACAAGAUGCUGGCUGGAGGGGAAAUCGGUCUCCCAGGCCGAUUAGCUUGGAACAAAAAACAGACAUUAAACUCGCCCAGGAUACGUGUUCAUCAAAGUUUUAAAGAGGUAUGCAGUUGCAACACGACGCUGAUGUCUGGGAAAGGGAACUUAUUUUCAGGAGUACUGAUAUUGGC